Molecule: unclassified non-coding RNA, 289 nt
Filed under: Hevea brasiliensis (rubber tree)
Lineage: Eukaryota; Viridiplantae; Streptophyta; Magnoliopsida; Malpighiales; Euphorbiaceae
Source: RNAcentral
AAUUAAAAAUGGCGUAUGAAUUAUCAAGAACCAGCUUUAAAUUACAGAACAAACAAUAAUUAUACUACAAUCACAUUGUUCAUCCUUCAUCAAUCCAUACAUGAAAAUAGCAUUACAAAUCCUCAUUAAAAACCCAAGAACCAAUUAUGUUCUUGAACAAAUCCACUCACAAACACUUACCAACCCCACUAAUAACCAAGACUGACACAUGCAAUCAACAGAGUAUAAAAAGUGCAGACUCAUCUCCUGCAACGAGUAAUCCUGGAACAUCCUCUAGUGUAGGGGUUAA